CAGGCCUAACACAUGCAAGUCGAACGAUAUUUUCCAGCCUGCUGGGAGAUAAAGUGGCGCACGGGUGCGUAACGCGUAACCAACCUGCCCUUGACUGGGGGAUAGCCCGCCGAAAGGCGGAUUAAUACCGCAUGAUACACGAUACCGGCAUCGGUGGCUGUGUUAAAGAUUUAUUGGUCAAGGAUGGGGUUGCGUGACAUUAGCUGGUUGGCGGGGUAACGGCCCACCAAGGCGACGAUGUCUAGGGGAGCUGAGAGGCUGGUCCCCCACACGGGCACUGAGAUACGGGCCCGACUCCUACGGGAGGCAGCAGUAGGGAAUAUUGGGCAAUGGGAGCAAUCCUGACCCAGCCAUGCCGCGUGCCGGAUGAAGGCCUUCUGGGUCGUAAACGGCUUUUGUCGGGGAAGAAUAAGGACUGUGCGCAGUCCGAUGACGGUACCCGGCGAAUAAGCACCGGCUAACUCCGUGCCAGCAGCCGCGGUAAU
This 485-nucleotide ribosomal RNA is filed under the name uncultured bacterium. Its description in RNAcentral is "bacterial SSU rRNA". It matches the Rfam family "Bacterial small subunit ribosomal RNA", at positions 43 to 524 of the family's 1533-position model. The record is from RNAcentral.